GCUCCCAUAGUUAAACGGAUAGAAUGCAGCGUUGCGGUCGCUGAGAUCGAAGUUCAAUUCUUCGUGGGGGCG
This 72-nucleotide transfer RNA is filed under the name Nanobdellota archaeon. Its description in RNAcentral is "tRNA-Arg". It matches the Rfam family "tRNA". Rfam says of the family: Transfer RNA (tRNA) molecules are approximately 80 nucleotides in length. Their secondary structure includes four short double-helical elements and three loops (D, anti-codon, and T loops). The record is from RNAcentral. Lineage: Archaea; Nanobdellati; Nanobdellota.